AUUGAACGCUGGCGGCAGGCCUAACACAUGCCAGUCGAGCGGAUGAAGGGAGCUUGCUCCUGGAUUCAGCGGCGGACGGGUGAGUAAUGCCUAGGAAUCUGCCUGGUAGUGGGGUAUAACGUCCGGAAACGGGCGCUAAUACCGCAUACGUCCUGAGGGAGAAAGUGGGGGAUCUUCGGACCUCACGCUAUCAGAUGAGCCUAGGUCGGAUUAGCUAGUUGGUGGGGUAAAGGCCUACCAAGGCGACGAUCCGUAACUGGUCUGAGAGGAUGAUCAGUCACACUGGAACUGGGACACGGUCCAGACUCCUACGGGAGGCAGCAGUGGGGAAUAUUGGACAGUGGGCGAGAGCCUGAUCCAGCCAUGCCGCGUGUGUGAAGAAGGUCUUCGGAUUGUAAAGCACUUUAAGUUGGGAGGAAGGGCAGUAAGUUAAUACCUUGCUGUUUUGACGUUAAUAACAGAAUAAGCACCGGCUAACUUCGUG
RNAcentral lists this ribosomal RNA (484 nucleotides) under uncultured bacterium. RNAcentral's name for it is "partial 16S ribosomal RNA". It matches the Rfam family "Bacterial small subunit ribosomal RNA", at positions 30 to 507 of the family's 1533-position model. The record is from RNAcentral.